AUGAGGAUCUGUGCGCAUCUCUGGAGCUGUUCAACCUGGCGACCAAAUGCCAGGAAGCGGUGGAAUCAUCACAGUCCCCUGCAAAGAGAAAGAUGCGGUGUGCUCCCUCGAGCGCGCUGUAGGACCUUGAAGUAUGUCUAG
This 141-nucleotide ribosomal RNA is filed under the name Triticum aestivum (bread wheat). RNAcentral's name for it is "partial small subunit ribosomal RNA". The record is from RNAcentral. Lineage: Eukaryota; Viridiplantae; Streptophyta; Magnoliopsida; Poales; Poaceae.